GCCGACAUAGCUCAAUCGGUAAGAGCGGUCGUUUCAUAAGCGACAGGUUCCUGGUUCGAUUCCAGGUGUCGGCACCA
RNAcentral lists this transfer RNA (77 nucleotides) under candidate division WWE3 bacterium. RNAcentral's name for it is "tRNA-Met". It matches the Rfam family "tRNA". From Rfam's summary of the family: Transfer RNA (tRNA) molecules are approximately 80 nucleotides in length. Their secondary structure includes four short double-helical elements and three loops (D, anti-codon, and T loops). Further hydrogen bonds mediate the characteristic L-shaped molecular structure. tRNAs have two regions of fundamental functional importance: the anti-codon, which is responsible for specific mRNA codon recognition, and the 3' end, to which the tRNAs corresponding amino acid is attached (by aminoacyl-tRNA synthetases). tRNAs cope with the degeneracy of the genetic code in two manners: having more than one tRNA (with a specific anti-codon) for a particular amino acid; and 'wobble' base-pairing, i.e. permitting non-standard base-pairing at the 3rd anti-codon position. Lineage: Bacteria; candidate division WWE3. The record is from RNAcentral.